AAUCAAUUUCAAAUUUGCCUUAUAUCCCUUGCUAAUUUUUCUGAUUGGAAAAUGUCCAAUUCUGUAUCGUCACUUGACACAGAUACAUGUAUGUGUUGUUAUCAGUAAUGGCAGUUUUGUGGAGAUUGGUUAUUUAUCACAGGCCAACAUUCCACUCCAGCAUGUGAACUCCGGCAGCCAUUUUUCCCGACACACAUGGGCACCAUGAAACUGCGUAAUUUUCAUCGUCCUCCCCUCAAGAAGUAUUCUCAUGGACCCAUGUCUCAGCACGGACCACAGGCCUUACUGCCUCUACUGAAAACUAUAAGAAGGAAGGCAAAGAUGAGUUAUAAUUGACGGUUUCAAAUGUUACUUUCAGAUGAGAGAACAUGAGUGACUGGCCUCUGGAGGAGGCGAGAUGUUUCUCAUGAGAACCCCCCAAGAUCUCACAGGGAUGGGUGGAGAACUGAUUUUGGCAGAGUACUCGGAGGAAUUCCCACCUAUCCUCAUGCAAGUUGACAUGGCAACCAAGAUAAAGAAUUACUACAAAAGGACGCAUACUCAGAUCUGAAAAGAGAUUCACAGAUUGAAAAGAAACGGACAAGCGUGGACCAGAGUCCUUCUGUUUUUUCUCGAUGGGAUGCCAUGGAACUCGGGGAUGUGUCUGUUUUUGGGAAACACAGGCAGAAGAAAAGUCUAGAAUGCUACUCUAUCAGUCUAUCUAUCUAUCUAUCCAUCUAUCUAUCUAACCAGAUUCCCUAAACCGAUUUCUUACCAUUGGUAUUCCGUCUGUCAAAUGAGCAAAGGGGACCGUGUAUCUGUUGCAGACGAUUUCUUACAUAAUAAACGUGACGUCACCAAGUGAGAGGGAGAAAAUUGUUUUAUUGGUGUUCCUGGCAAAUUUUGAUACACAAUAUAAUGAAAAUGUCUUGAAAAGUAUCAGCGCAAAAUUUGAUGAUUACGUCAAGAGUGGAUUUAUUCUAGUGAUGCAAGUUCCAGAAAAAAUUACCCUCCGUUAGAAAAUUUGAAGAGGAAUUAUAAUGAUUCUCCGGAGAAAGUAAAAUGGCGAUCGAAACAGAAUGUUGAUUAUGCUUUUAUGUUUCUGUACGGAAGAAAUAUUUCAGAAUACUAUAUUCAGAUUGAAGACGAUGUGAUUCCAGCCCGUGGAUUCACCAAAGACAUACGUGCUUUUAUCAUAGAAAAUAGCAAAAAGCCAUGGAUAUGUUUAGAAUUUUCUAUUCUUGGAUUUAUUGGGAAACUGUUCAAGUCCAAAGACCUGGAAAAAUUUGCAAGGUACUUGAUUUUAUUUUACGACGAGCAACCUUGUGAUUGUCUUAUCGAUCAUUUCCUAACUUCGAUGACUCAGAAAAAGCGCAUCUUCCACAAACAGUCUUUAUUCCAGCAUCAGGGGGACUGGUCUUCUUCGGAAGAGAAGUCCAGGAAAGGACCUAAUAUGUCGCGGGACAUUUACUUCAAAGAUAAACAAGGAAAAACCACUCAAGGGACGCCAAAAGGAAAGUCGUGACUUGCAAUUACACUUCUGUAGCUUAAUACAAGGAGCAAAAACGUUCUUCCAAAAUAUUUUUAAGUAAGCUUUUUUUUUUUUACUUUUCAAGAUAAGAAGGAUAGAGGUUGUAUUUCGUGGUACGAGUACGGGCACUACAUGAACUUUUUUCAAGUAUGCAUAUCAUUCACUCUACUUAUUUUGUGUACUGUCAUAUUGACAUAUCUGGAUAUAGAUCGUCAGAGGACUAGUCAGCGCGUUAAACAAUCAACUUAAAAUCAAAGAUAUCUUAAAUAGUAAAACAAUUACUUGGAGACAAAA
This is a long non-coding RNA of Lingula anatina, 1804 nucleotides long. The record is from RefSeq and is a predicted model, not a curated record. Lineage: Eukaryota; Metazoa; Brachiopoda; Lingulata; Lingulida; Lingulidae.